Oryzias melastigma (Indian medaka) is the source of this 1350-nucleotide long non-coding RNA. RefSeq lists it as uncharacterized. The transcript has 2 exons. Lineage: Eukaryota; Metazoa; Chordata; Actinopteri; Beloniformes; Adrianichthyidae. The record is from RefSeq and is a predicted model, not a curated record.
CAUGGUUUACAACAUUGUGGCAGAUUGACGCAUCAACAAAUUCAAUGGAGCCUUUUUCAUAUUCGACCAAUCGGAUGGACCUCUUUUAUAUAGACGUGGGUCAUUUGAAAGAUAAUUUACAUUUUGUUGAACUAUACGGACUCCGCCAUGUUGGAGCCAGAUAACACCAGUAAGCAGUGAUUGGUCCGACUCGGUUUGAGUCAUUGCUCUGGAAUCUACUCUCGCCAAUCAGGAGGCAGUUUGUUGGAAGGCCACACCUCUACCAUUUAAAAGCAGUCUACACAAAAUCUGUCAAAUGUUUAAAACAUUUUACAUGGGGCUUAAAGGCUCCGCCUACUUUUAGUGAGGCAUAUGAUUGGUCAGAUUAUACUUGAAAAGGAGGAUUAUCAAGAAGAUGCUAAAACAGUUAUCAGAUCUAGAAUGUUUCUUCUGACCAAAAGAAUGACUGAAUAACAGCUGUUUAUUUUUCUUUAGAAGUCUACGGGAUUUUGGCUUCUUGGAGCCACUUCCUGUUUUGGGGGGUUUCCUUCUUUUUGUUCAAUAUCUUUCUUGGUUAGCUUUCAGGGCCACAAACCACCUUUUUUUUCUGGAUCUUGUAGAACGUUCGUAGAAAUGAUCACAUUUAAAACCCUACAAAGUCGUUCUCUAACAACCACUUCAAAGGUCUCGCAAGGACCAAAGCGCUCAGCGGAACCGCAGAUCAUUACGGCGUCAACGCCUGUUAGCGGUUCUGUCGUUAAGGAGCCGUGCAGCUCACCUUCGGCGUGCAGGGACGCUGAUCCUGUCAGUCACCUUUGUCGCCGUGACAACAGAGACUUGGGUUCAACUUGCUCUGACAGCAGUCGGACGGAGAGCACAGAGGGAAGGUCACCUCUUGUCAUGUCAGACAACAUGUCGCUCACACACGGAUGCAGGCGUGCCAGCUCUCACACAGGCUCAAACGCACAACCAGACCGUAUGGAUUUCCGCCUCUCAGGCUCACGCGGCGCGACAGACAGACUUCUGUUAAGUGGUGAGAGCUCGGGGAUGGUAAAUAAAUCAGUAACUGUGCAAUAUGCAAAAAACAAGAGCGUGUUCACGCCCGUCAUCCACAAACACAGAGCCUGAGGUUUUUCAGCAUUCUAUGAUCAACACGUUUCAGACACAAAAGGGAACCGGAGCCGUUCAAACAACAUUUCUGGAGAUCUUUAAAUGGGUGCAAUCAGGAGGUAAGAAUCCAGGAUUUAUCCCCUUUAUUGAAAGCCUCAGUUGAUGCUAAAUUGGCCAAAACAUCUAGUAUGUAAUGAAAAUAUUAGCUAAAUUCCAAAAUAGUCCAAAAACUUUAGUAGACGUCAAAAUUGACAAAAAAAA